This 461-nucleotide ribosomal RNA is filed under the name uncultured bacterium. RNAcentral describes it as "partial 16S ribosomal RNA". It matches the Rfam family "Bacterial small subunit ribosomal RNA", at positions 338 to 795 of the family's 1533-position model. The record is from RNAcentral.
CCUACGGGUGGCAGCAGUGAGGAAUAUUGGUCAAUGGGCGGAAGCCUGAACCAGCCAAGUCGCGUGAGGGAAUAAGGCCCUACGGGUCGUAAACCUCUUUUGCCGGGGAGCAAGGGCGGGGACGUGUCCCGGCCCGGAGAGUACCCGGAGAAAAAGCAUCGGCUAACUCCGUGCCAGCAGCCGCGGUAAUACGGAGGAUGCGAGCGUUAUCCGGAUUUACUGGGCGUAAAGGGCGCGUAGGUGGGCGCUUAAGUCAGGUGUGAAAACUCCGGGCUCAACCUGGAGACUGCACUUGAAACUGGGUGUCUUGAGGGCAGGAGAGGAAAGUGGAAGUCCUAGUGUAGUGGUGAAAUGCGUAGAUAUUAGGAGGAACACCAGUGGCGAAGGCGACUUUCUGGACUGUACCUGACGCUGAGGCGCGAAAGCGUGGGUAGCGAACGGGAUUAGAUACCCUGGUAGUC